UACGUAGGGUGCGAGCGUUAAUCGGAAUUACUGGGCGUAAAGCGUGCGCAGGCGGUUUUGUAAGCCAGAUGUGAAAUCCCCGGGCUUAACCUGGGAAUGGCAUUUGGGACUGCAAGGCUCGAGUGCGGCAGAGGGGGGUGGAAUUCCACGUGUAGCAGUGAAAUGCGUAGAGAUGUGGAGGAACACCGAUGGCGAAGGCAGCCCCCUGGGCUGACACUGACGCUCAUGCACGAAAGCGUGGGGAGCAAACAGG
This 253-nucleotide ribosomal RNA is filed under the name uncultured bacterium. RNAcentral describes it as "partial 16S ribosomal RNA". It matches the Rfam family "Bacterial small subunit ribosomal RNA", at positions 524 to 776 of the family's 1533-position model. The record is from RNAcentral.